Molecule: unclassified non-coding RNA, 240 nt
Filed under: soil metagenome
Description: partial contains 5.8S ribosomal RNA, internal transcribed spacer 2, and large subunit ribosomal RNA
Source: RNAcentral
AACGCACGAGACCUGCGGACCUGCGGAGGGAUCAUUAAUGAGAAACUGCCCCUCGCGGGUAGAUCUCCCACCCUUUGUAAACUUACCUUUGUUGCUUUGGCAGGCCCGUCUCCGGACCGCCGGCUUCGGCUGGCCAGUGCCUGCCAGAGGAUUCUAAAACUCUGUCUGUCAGUGUUGUCUGAGUCUACAUACAAUCGUUAAAACUUUCAGCAAUGGAUCUCUAGAUCGGAAGAGCACACG